Molecule: ribosomal RNA, 377 nt
Filed under: uncultured bacterium
Lineage: Bacteria
Description: bacterial SSU rRNA
Rfam family: Bacterial small subunit ribosomal RNA
Source: RNAcentral
GUAGUCCAUGCCGUAAACGGUGGGCGCUAGGUGUGAGGGUCUUUUCACGACUUUCGUGCCGUAGCUAACGCAUUAAGCGCCCCGCCUGGGGAGUACGGCCGCAAGGCUAAAACUCAAAGGAAUUGACGGGGGCCCGCACAAGCGGCGGAGCAUGUGGAUUAAUUCGAUGCAACGCGAAGAACCUUACCUGGGCUUGACAUACACCGGAUCGGGCUAGAGAUAGUCUUUCCCUUUGUGGCUGGUGUACAGGUGGUGCAUGGUUGUCGUCAGCUCGUGUCGUGAGAUGUUGGGUUAAGUCCCGCAACGAGCGCAACCCUUGUCUUAUGUUGCCAGCAUUUGGUUGGGGACUCAUGAGAGACUGCCGGGGUCAACUCGGA